This 3480-nucleotide ribosomal RNA is filed under the name Triticum aestivum (bread wheat). RNAcentral describes it as "partial small subunit ribosomal RNA". Lineage: Eukaryota; Viridiplantae; Streptophyta; Magnoliopsida; Poales; Poaceae. The record is from RNAcentral.
CCCAACGCAAAGCUCCCAUCUUUCCCCCGCACGCCACGCAAAACCCAGACCCUCCGCCUCCUCCGAAUCCCCUCCUCCGCCGGCCGCCCUCCCGUACGACCAGCCGGCCCGGCGACGGACAGCAUGGCGGCGGACUGAAGCGCGCUCGCGGCUCCGUCGGCCCGCGCUCUCCGGCUGCAUUGGGCCAGAUCCGCCCGGAUCUGGGCGUCUCCAGCUCCAGAGUACACAGCAGUAGAUCACACAUCAUCACCAAAAGCAAUGGCGUCGUAUAAGCUGGGCGUGGAGGUCGCAAGCGCUCAUGACCUCAUGCCCAAGGACGGGCAAGGUUCUGCCAGCGCCUGUGUUGAGCUUACCUUUGAUGGUCAGCGGUUCCGCACGGCCAUCAAGGAGAAGGACCUGAACCCCGUCUGGAACGAGCGCUUCUACUUCAACGUCUCUGAUCCAACAAAUCUUCCCGAGCUCGCUCUUGAAGCAUAUGUCUACAACAUCCACAAGUCCAUCGAAGGCUCCAGGUCAUUCCUUGGCAAGGUCAGAAUCGCUGGCACCUCAUUCGUGCCCUUCACCGAUGCUGUCAUCAUGCACUAUCCACUGGAGAAGCGUGGGAUGUUCUCCCGUGUCAAGGGGGAAUUGGGCCUCAAAGUGUACAUCACAAAUGACCCCUCCAUCAGGGCUUCCAACCCUCUUCCUGCAAUGGACCCUGUUUCGAACAAUACUCCUCCAACUCAAGCUGAGCAGAUUGCUGCUGAUAUAACCGGUACUAAUCUGAAUGCUUCUCAGCGCCAUCAAGAGCACAGGCAUGAUGAAGUGAGAACCUUGCAUACCAUAGCUAAGGAUGUACAGCAUCAUCAGCACCAUGGCCACCUUCCAGCCUCUUUUGCCGAGCAACCCUCCAACUCCAAGUAUGGUGUUGAGCAAAUGAAACCUCAACCUCAACAGCCCAAGAUGGUCAGGAUGUAUUCAGCUGCCUCCCAGCAGCCCAUGGACUAUGCACUUAAAGAAACCAGCCCCUUUCUCGGUGGUGGACAGAUUGUUGGUGGUCGGGUUAUUGGUGGUGAGAAGCAUGCUAGUACUUAUGACUUAGUGGAGAGAAUGCAGUAUCUGUUUGUGCGUGUGGUCAAGGCACGGGACUUGCCUAACAUGGACAUCACUGGGAGCCUGGAUCCUUUCGUGGAAGUGAGAGUUGGCAACUACAGGGGCAUAACUAAGCACUUUGAGAAGCAGAGGAACCCUGAGUGGAAUGCUGUCUUUGCUUUCUCUAGAGAACGUAUGCAGGCCUCUGUCAUUGAAGUGUUGGUCAAAGACAAAGAUCUUGUCAGGGAUGAUUUUGUUGGCAUGGUGCGAUUCGAUCUGAAUGAUGUGCCAGUACGUGUGCCCCCUGACAGUCCACUGGCUCCAGAAUGGUACCGGCUUGUUCAUAAGGAUGGGGACAAGUCAAGGGGUGAGCUGAUGCUGGCGGUUUGGAUUGGCACCCAAGCUGACGAGGCAUUUCCUGAUGCAUGGCAUUCAGAUGCUGCUACACUUGAGGAUCCAUCUGCUGUAACACACAUGAAGUCGAAAGUUUACCAUGCACCCAGACUGUGGUACCUGCGAGUUAAUAUAAUUGAGGCCCAAGAUAUUCUCAUACAUGAUAAGACCCGCUAUCCAGAUGUUUUUGUCAGAGCACAGGUGGGGCAUCAGCAUGGGAGGACAAAACCUGUUCAGGCUAGAAACUUCAACCCAUUUUGGAAUGAAGACCUGAUGUUUGUGGCUGCUGAACCUUUCGAGGAUCACCUUAUUCUGUCACUUGAAGAUCGUGUAGCUCCUAACAAGGAUGAGACGCUUGGCCGGAUAAUUAUACCAUUGACGAUGAUUGAUAGGCGGGCUGAUGACCGCAUUGUCCAUGGGAAGUGGUUUAAUCUUGAGAAGCCUGUACUUGUUGAUGUAGAUCAACUAAAGAGAGAGAAGUUCUCUAGUCGGCUCCAUCUCCGUCUCUGCCUUGAUGGAGGAUAUCAUGUUCUGGAUGAGUCUACAAACUACAGCAGUGACCUCAGACCAACAGCCAAGCAACUCUGGAAGCCGUCGAUUGGUCUGCUUGAGCUUGGAGUCCUUGGUGCACAGGGGAUUGUUCCUAUGAAGACACGUGAUGGAAAAGGUUCAUCAGACACCUAUUGUGUUGCAAAGUAUGGGUCAAAGUGGGUGCGAACACGUACUAUCAUGAACAAUCCAAACCCCAAGUUCAAUGAACAGUACACUUGGGAGGUCUAUGAUCCGGCAACUGUCCUGACUAUUGGUGCUUUUGACAAUGGCCAGCUUGGAGAGAGGAAUGGGGACAAGCCAUCCAGUGGUAAAGAUGCGAAAAUCGGCAAGGUCCGAAUUCGCCUUUCAACACUUGAAACUGGCCGAGUAUACACCCACUCAUAUCCGCUCCUGGUUCUGCACCCAUCAGGGGUGAAGAAGAUGGGUGAACUGCACCUAGCCAUACGAUUUUCCUCAACGUCAUUGGUCAACAUGCUAUACCUGUACUCCCGACCUUUGCUGCCGAAGAUGCACUAUGCACGCCCAAUACCAGUGCUUCAGGUUGACAUGCUCCGCCACCAAGCUGUCCAGAUUGUGGCUGCCCGUCUCAGCCGAAUGGAGCCACCUCUGAGGAAGGAAGUUGUUGAGUACAUGUCAGAUUUUGACUCUCACUUGUGGAGCAUGAGGAGAAGCAAAGCAAACUUCUUCAGGCUGAUGAAUGUCUUCUCAGGCCUGUUUGCCAUCAGCAAGUGGUUCAGUGGUGUCUGCGCAUGGAAGAACCCCAUUACCACCGUGCUGGUUCACAUCCUCUUUAUAAUGCUGGUGUGCUUUCCAGAGCUCAUACUCCCAACAGUGUUCUUGUACAUGUUCCUGAUAGGGAUCUGGAACUACCGUUACCGGCCUCGCUACCCUCCACACAUGAACACCAAGAUCUCUCAUGCAGAAGCUGUUCACCCAGAUGAACUCGACGAAGAGUUUGACACAUUCCCCACAAGCCGGAGCCAAGAGGUUGUAAGGAUGAGGUAUGAUAGGCUGAGGAGUGUUGCUGGAAGGAUACAGACUGUUGUUGGCGAUAUCGCAACCCAAGGGGAGAGAGUUCAGGCACUGCUCAGUUGGAGGGAUCCUCGGGCCACAGCAAUAUUUGUGCUAUUCUGUUUCAUAGCCGCGAUAGUGCUGUACGUCACACCGCUCCAGGUUCUCGCAGCAUUAGGAGGGUUCUAUGCCAUGAGGCACCCGAGGUUCAGGCACAGGUUGCCAUCAACGCCAGUAAACUUCUUCAGGCGACUGCCAGCGAGGACAGACAGUAUGCUGUGAAGAUGCUACCAUCUGGUGGCCUUAUCGUUGUAAUCCCUAGAAUUACACCAUGUCUGUCGCUGUAGCUCGACUCGCCGUGUUAUUAUUUGUGACUGUUUGUCGUUCAGGACUUCGAGUCUGCCUAUCGUAUUAGGUGCUGGAUCCAGGGAAUAAUGUGCCGACAGCUUAUCA